Mustela lutreola (European mink) is the source of this 1441-nucleotide long non-coding RNA. RefSeq lists it as uncharacterized. The record is from RefSeq and is a predicted model, not a curated record. NCBI's taxonomy places the organism in Eukaryota, Metazoa, Chordata, Mammalia, Carnivora, Mustelidae. The transcript has 3 exons.
UGAGAAAAUGAAACCUAGGCUGAUUUCUGAAAGCAGCGGAGCAGUCAGCCAGGCUAAGAGCCAGGAAGGCUAAGGGGAGCCGUGUGCGAGGUCCAGUGCGGGGCAGGCCCACUGUCUGCUAUUUACCAAAGUGAGAGAAAGGCAUUGUGCUGUGCCAUUAGGAGCUGGGAGCAGGACAGGGAAAAGUUUCCUUUGCCUGUGGUCAACCAUGGUCCAGAAACAGACCAUCCUCCUGACUUAGCAUCAAGAAGGUCAAAAAGAAACCUAAUGUCAAGUCACAGCGCCUACAUUAUUCACCUUCACCGCAUCUCAUCACCUGGCAUUUUAUCAUCUAGCGUCAUCACAAGUUGAAGGUGUGGUGUUCAUGAAAGACAAGGAAAGCCUGAGAAACCAGCACAGACUGAAGACUGUGGAGCAACGAUGACUAAGUGUGGUCUCCUGAACUGGACACUACACAGAAUAAGGACAUCGGUGGGGAAACUGGUCAAAUGAAAGAAGACAUAUUUAAUGUUUCUUGUAUGCAGGAUGUCUAUACAUGUACAGAACAGACUUAUUUUUGAACAUAAACCUUUUUUUUUUGUUUAAUCAGUUUCUGCUACAGUUGUAUGAAAAUUAUCCACUCUUACUGUGGGAUUAUAAAUUCUGUUAAUAAAUCUUUGUUUUUAUUUAUGGAUUUUGAGGCUGUGUGCUUAGGGACAUGCAAGCCCAUAUUUUUUCUGUGUCAUGGAGGAUUCUGUGUUACUUUGAUCCCCAUUAAUGCCUUUUGCCUUUAAUAUUAUUUUGUCUAAUUUUCAUAUUACUAGAUUAUCUUUCUUUUAAUCAUUAUUUGCAAAGUAUAGUUUUCCCAUUUGUUCAUUUUCACCUUUUCUGUAUGUUUUUGUUCUAUGCAUAUUUCUUGCAAGGAACUUAUAGUUAGAUUAGAAAAUAUAGUCACAGUUUUUAUCUUUUCAUACAAAAAUUUAAUCCAUUAAUAUUUAUUCUAAUUACUGAUAUAUCUUAGGCUUUAUAAAAAAACAUUAAUUUUGUGUUGAUUAAGCAUGUCAAUGUUAAGUAUCUCUUCUCCCUUUCUUCUGAGUGAAUGGACUUCUUGCAGGGCACAAGGCUGACUGGAAUAAAUAUUAUGUGUCUUAGUCAUUCUGGAGAUAAGUGUGAGUAUGUGACUAAAUUUUGGCCAUGGGAUAUAAUGUAUAUCCAGUCUCCCUUAGAAUACAGUUGGGGAUGCCCUUUCUUCUUCUCUGUCCCUUCCAUCAUCACUGUGCCCAGUAUAUGGAUGCCUCCUUGGACCAUGAGGAUGAAGACCAUACCCUAGAGAUGGCUGAAUGGGGAGUUGGAUAGUCUCUCAGGAUAGCAUCGAAUCGUGUGACCAUACCAGUUCUGGACUUUUUUGGACAUUUAUGUGAUUAACAUGAGCACAAAAUAAACACCUUCCUUAUGUAAAUCA